GGAAAAGAAAGAGGAGAAAUUUUAGGACCUUCGCUGAAGAAGUCUGUCUGUUGCCCAGUAUGCAGCCCACUUUGUUCAAGGGCCUUCAUGACGAUAUUUAUGACUGGGUCGCAAUACUGAGACCCAGCUUAUAUGCAGAGGUGCUCGAACAUGCCCAUUUUACGGAAGACCUUAUCUUUGCUAAAUACCAACGUAUUGUUUGAGUCUAUACCCAACAAUAACCCCAACAACUUAGAAGGAGAUUGCUUGAUCCAGUAAGUAAACCUCCAGAUAAACGAACAAGAGUUGCCCUUCCUCUUGCCUUGCCCCCACCUAUAGCUCCACUUGCCUAUUCUUACCAACCCUGUCAGCAUUAUGGUCCCUCGCAU
Molecule: long non-coding RNA, 368 nt
Filed under: Carica papaya (papaya)
Lineage: Eukaryota; Viridiplantae; Streptophyta; Magnoliopsida; Brassicales; Caricaceae
Description: long non-coding RNA (CPAP_LNC013094)
Source: RNAcentral